Molecule: long non-coding RNA, 508 nt
Organism: Lactuca sativa (garden lettuce)
Lineage: Eukaryota; Viridiplantae; Streptophyta; Magnoliopsida; Asterales; Asteraceae
Source: RefSeq, a predicted model, not a curated record
AGUAGUAAGCUGUUUGAUAAAUCCACAAUUCUACUGCCUCGGUAAACAUGGCUAACCCAAGGAGCUUACUCGGUCCGUUCCAAAUAUGUGGAUGACUGGAAAAAAGCAUGCUCUCUGCCCUCGUGACCUCUUCUUCCCUCUUUUUUCUGUUGUGUAAGCAAUUUUUUCUUCCUCAAGCAGUCGGUAGACUUCCUCCAUUCCCCAGAUCGACUUCUUCCUCACGUAAGCUCCUACUAGACAUUUAUGUGAUGGUCAUGAUUCUUGGUUAAAGAGGAAGAAAUUUGUGGAUUUAGAAGAUGGGAAUUUGGAUAGGAAUGAGAUUAAUUGAUAUAACUUCAUCUUUUAAUCAAGAAGUGAAUUUUGUUUUUAAGUAAACUACACUAAUGGUACAUUAGUUAUGUGAUUGAACGAGAUUUUUUCAAUUGUAAUGCUAACCAUGUAGAUGGUUUACUACUUUAAUUUUAUUUUGAUUUUAUUCUCUAUUGGAUUUAAAUGAGUAUGUUCUCUU